ACAUAGAGGUUGUAUGGGAUAAGCGAGCAGGGGACAAGGGACUACAUGAUAGAAGGGAUCUGGAAGCCAUCCUUGAGGAGUCUGAACUUUUGUCAGAUCGAGUCUUGCCCUUGUCUUUGGGGAGAUGAUCAAUCGGAUUGAGAAGAACAUCCUGAGCUCAGCGGACUACGUGGAACGCGGGCAAGAGCACGUCAAGACGGCCCUGGAGAACCAGAAGAAGGCGAGGAAGGUGAGCCUCCCAGGCCCGGCCACUGUCCCAGGCACCCUGUGUGUCUUCCCUGACCCCCUCCUCUCCCACAGAAGAAAGUCUUGAUUGCCAUCUGUGUGUCCAUCACCGUCGUCCUCCUAGCAGUCAUCAUUGGCAUCACAGUGGUUGGAUAAUGUCGCACAUUGUUGGCACUAGGAGCACCAGGGACCCAGGGCCUGGCCUUCUGUCCCAGCAGCCUGGGGGGCAGGGCAGAGCCUCCAGUCGGACCCCUUCCUCACACUGGCCCCUAUGCAGAAGGGCAGACAGUUCUUCUGGGGUUGGCAGCUGCUCAUUCAUGGUGGCCUCCUCCUUCAGGCCUCAAUGCCUGAGGGAGGCCUGCACUGUCCUGAUUGGCCAGGACACACGAUUUUGUAAAAAAUUAAAA
This 632-nucleotide small RNA is filed under the name Pongo abelii (Sumatran orangutan). RNAcentral describes it as "processed transcript". The record is from RNAcentral. Lineage: Eukaryota; Metazoa; Chordata; Mammalia; Primates; Hominidae.